Cyprinus carpio (common carp) is the source of this 400-nucleotide long non-coding RNA. NCBI's taxonomy places the organism in Eukaryota, Metazoa, Chordata, Actinopteri, Cypriniformes, Cyprinidae. The record is from Ensembl.
GUGUCACGUGGUAUUAGCUCUUAAUUUCCUUACAUUUUAUGCUCAAAGCAUGAAGAAAAGCGGUUCUGGAAGAGGAACUGAAUCUUUUGCAAGAGAUAAAUCUGUAAGUAAUGAGAACCGAGAAGAACUGGUUAAAUUGUGCCUCUGGCUUGGAGAUGAGCAGAAGUUUCUGAAUAAUUAUGGAAUGAUCUGGGUUGGAAGUUGCAAAGAACAUGAUGAGCAGGCCAACAGCCAACUUCCUAGAGCAAGUAAUGCAUGCAAGACUUUUGAAAUGAACUAUGACCUGGUCCUGCAGAACAUCCAGGAACUGAACAUCAUAGCAGGGGAAGGGGAAUCCCAUGUGACCGCCACUCCUGGUGGAGCCAAACUUACCCAGCAGCUUCCGUACCUCUUUGGCUAA